Molecule: ribosomal RNA, 274 nt
Filed under: uncultured bacterium
Lineage: Bacteria
Description: partial 16S ribosomal RNA
Rfam family: Bacterial small subunit ribosomal RNA
Source: RNAcentral
CUACGGAGGGUGCAAGCGUUAUUCGGAAUCACUGGGCGUAAAGGACGCGUAGGCGGGUUGGCAAGUCAGAUGUGAAAUCCUACAGCUUAACUGUAGAACUGCAUUUGAAACUGCUAACCUAGAGUAUGGGAGGGGGAGAUGGAAUUAGUGGUGUAGGGGUAAAAUCCGUAGAUAUCACUAGGAAUACCGAAAGCGAAGGCGAUCUCCUGGAACAUAACUGACGCUAAGGCGUGAAAGCGUGGGGAGCAAACAGGAUUAGAUACCCGAGUAGUCC